Molecule: long non-coding RNA, 1200 nt
Organism: Hordeum vulgare subsp. vulgare (domesticated barley)
Lineage: Eukaryota; Viridiplantae; Streptophyta; Magnoliopsida; Poales; Poaceae
Exons: 6
Source: RefSeq, a predicted model, not a curated record
UCCAUGGCCGGAAGCAAGAUGUGAGGAUGAGGGGACAGAAGCAAGAUGUGAGGAUCAGGGGACGCUAUGUCGCCUCCAUCCCUGACCUUCUUCUUGGCAUGUACUGGUUGGACAUGCUCUGCUUCCUUUACUCCCACCUUUCGGCCUCGAUGCCUCUGCAUAUUUCUCCAUCACUCUCUUGCAGGUAUCUACUUCCUCAACAAGUGAGCAUGCCUGCAUUUAUCACUUGUGCAUACGAAACAUAAAGGCACAUACAAACCCCCUGCUCAGGAGCUCCUCCUCUCUAGGAGUAUAAACAUGACUACAAACAGGAGUAGUUAAUAUUACUGUAUAGCAAAUUAAGCUAGACCGCUGUGCCCUUUCUUCCUGUUGGAUUUCGACGACGGACAGAAGACGCAUGGUCCGUGGUCAGGCCCGCCUCUGUUCACCUGGUCAAUUUCUUCAUAGAUCACGACAUUCUUCCUCCCGUGACAUACACUAGCUUAAGAAGGCACGACAAUCAGGGUUCUUUGAAGGAGACAAGUUCAAAGGCAACUGGUGUGACAUAUACCAUCACUGGUGUUAUAGAGGAAGUUGCUGACACCAAGCUUAAAAUAACUGAGCUUCCUGUCCGCCGCUGGACUACAGAUUACAAAGAGUUUCUUGAAUCCAUGUGUCCUAUUCCUAUCAAGGAAAAGGAAAAGAGCAAGGACAAAAACAAGGAAAAGAAGAAGGACAAGGACAAGGACAAGGAAAGGAAAAGAGCAAGGAACCGCCAUUGUUAGAGGAAAUAAGGUCGCAGUGUGAUCACGCGGAUGUGGAAUUUGAGCUUAUACUGAGUGAGCAAAACAUGAAUAUAGCUAAGCAAGAAGGCCUUGAGAAGAAAUUCAAGCUGACUACCACAAUAGGAACAACAAACAUGCAUUUGUUUGAUUCACAUGGUAAAAUAAAAAAAUAUGACACCCCAGAGGAUGAUGGUCACCAAAUGAUUGUUCCAUCUGUGCUGAUCCGCGAGAUCCUAAAGUUGAUGCUGGAAGAGUGGCCCCUAUUAGGUGUUACUGGUAAUCCAAACUUGUAUUAGCAUUAAACUGAUGGAUAUAGUAGGUAUGAUGAGUGGGAUGUGAAAGGUGCAAUAAGGAGACAUCAAUAGAUUGAUUGUUUAUAUUAUAUAACCAUAACAUACUUUUAGUUUUGAAAUUAUGAUUUGAGCGUAUGAUUAAA